GCCUGGAGUGGAGGCACACGCCUGUAAUCCCAGCAGCUCAGGAGGCUGAGACAGGGAGAUCACAAGUUCAAAGCCAGCCUCAGCAAUUUAGCGAGGCCCUAAGCAACUUAGUGAGACCUUGUCUCUU
RNAcentral lists this small RNA (127 nucleotides) under Marmota monax (woodchuck). The record is from RNAcentral. Lineage: Eukaryota; Metazoa; Chordata; Mammalia; Rodentia; Sciuridae.